CUCAGGAUUGAACGCUGGCGGCGUGCCUAAUACUGCAAGUUGAGCGAACUGAUUAGAAGCUUGCUUCUAUGACGUUAGACGGCGGACGGGUGAGUAACACGUGGGCAACCUGCCUGUAAGACUGGGAUAACUUCGGGAAACCGAAGCUAAUACCGGAUAGGAUCUUCUCCUUCAUGGGAGAUGAUUGAAAGAUGGUUUCGGCUAUCACUUACAGAUGGGCCCGCGGUGCAUUAGCUAGUUGGUGAGGUAACGGCUCACCAAGGCAACGAUGCAUAGCCGACCUGAGAGGGUGAUCGGCCACACUGGGACUGAGACACGGCCCAGACUCCUACGGGAGGCAGCAGUAGGGAAUCUUCCGCAAUGGACGAAAGUCUGACGGAGCAACGCCGCGUGAGUGAUGAAGGCUUUCGGGUCGUAAAACUCUGUUGUUAGGGAAGAACAAGUACAAGAGUAACUGCUUGUACCUUGACGGUACCUAACCAGAAAGCCACGGCUAACUACGUGCCAGCAGCCGCGGUAAUACGUAGGUGGCAAGCGUUAUCCGGAAUUAUUGGGCGUAAAGCGCGCGCAGGCGGUUUCUUAAGUCUGAUGUGAAAGCCCACGGCUCAACCUGUGGAGGGUCAUUGGAAACUGGGGAACUUGAGUGCAGAAGAGAAAAGCGGAAUUCCACGUGUAGCGGUGAAAUGCGUAGAGAUGUGGAGGAACACCAGUGGCGAAGGCGGCUUUUUUGGUCUGUAACUGACGCUGAGGCGCGAAAGCGUGGGGAGCAAACGGAUUAGAUCCCUA
RNAcentral lists this ribosomal RNA (786 nucleotides) under Bacillus sp. RM(2010). RNAcentral describes it as "bacterial SSU rRNA". It matches the Rfam family "Bacterial small subunit ribosomal RNA", at positions 23 to 788 of the family's 1533-position model. Lineage: Bacteria; Bacillati; Bacillota; Bacilli; Caryophanales; Bacillaceae. The record is from RNAcentral.